RNAcentral lists this ribosomal RNA (446 nucleotides) under uncultured bacterium. RNAcentral describes it as "partial 16S ribosomal RNA". It matches the Rfam family "Bacterial small subunit ribosomal RNA", at positions 330 to 793 of the family's 1533-position model. The record is from RNAcentral.
ACCAGACUCCUACGGGAGGCAGCAGUGGGGAAUAUUGGACAAUGGGGGGAACCCUGAUGCAGCGACGCCGCGUGGGUGAAGAAGCGCCUCGGCGCGUAAAGCCCUGUCAGCAGGGAAGAAAAUGACGGUACCUGAAGAAGAAGCCCCGGCUAACUACGUGCCAGCAGCCGCGGUAAUACGUAGGGGGCAAGCGUUAUCCGGAUUUACUGGGUGUAAAGGGGGCGCAGACGGCGAUGCAAGCCAGGAGUGAAAGCCCGGGGCCCACCCCCGGGACUGCUCUUGGAACUGCGUGGCUGGAGUGCAGGAGGGGCAGGCGGAAUUCCUGGUGUAGCGGUGAAAUGCGUAGAUAUCAGGAGGAACACCGGGGGCGAAGGCGGCCUGCUGGACUGCAACUGACGUUGAGGCCCGAAAGCGUGGGGAGCAAACAGGAUUAGAUACCCCGGUAU